Molecule: ribosomal RNA, 425 nt
Filed under: uncultured bacterium
Lineage: Bacteria
Description: bacterial SSU rRNA
Rfam family: Bacterial small subunit ribosomal RNA
Source: RNAcentral
GUGGGGAAUAUUGAACAAUGGGCGAAAGCCUGAUCCAGCCAUGCCGCGUGAGUGAUGAAGGCCUUAGGGUUGUAAAGCUCUUUCAGUAGGGAAGAUAAUGACGGUACCUACAGAAGAAGCCCCGGCUAACUUCGUGCCAGCAGCCGCGGUAAUACGAAGGGGGCUAGCGUUGUUCGGAUUUACUGGGCGUAAAGCGCACGUAGGCGGAUUGGUCAGUUAGAGGUGAAAUCCUGGAGCUCAACUCCAGAACUGCCUUUAAUACUGCCAGUCUAGAGUCCAGAAGAGGUGAGUGGAACUCCUAGUGUAGAGGUGGAAUUCGUAGAUAUUAGGAAGAACACCAGUGGCGAAGGCGGCUCACUGGUCUGGUACUGACGCUGAGGUGCGAAAGCGUGGGGAGCAAACAGGAUUAGAUACCCCUGUAGUCC